GAGUCUGCGUUCCAUUAGCUAGUUGGUAGGGUAAUGGCCUACCAAGGCAACGAUGAGUAGCUGGUCUGAGAGGAUGAUCAGCCACACUGGAACUGAAACACGGUCCAGACUCCUACGGGAGGCAGCAGUGGGGAAUAUUGCGCAAUGGGCGAAAGCCUGACGCAGCAACGCCGUGUGAGGGAUGAAGGCUUUCGGGUCGUAAACCUCUGUCAGAAGGGAAGAACGGGCAUUGGUCUAAUAGGCCUUUGUUUUGACGGUACCUUCAGAGGAAGCACCGGCUAACUCCGUGCCAGCAGCCGCGGUAAUACGGAGGGUGCAAGCGUUAUUCGGAAUUACUGGGCGUAAAGCGCACGUAGGCGGCCUUGUAAGUCAGGGGUGAAAUCCCACGGCUCAACCGUGGAACUGCCUUUGAUACUGCUUAGCUUGAAUCCGGGAGAGGGUGGCGGAAUUCCAGGUGUAGGAGUGAAAUCCGUAGAUAUCUGGAGGAACAUCAGUGGCGA
Molecule: ribosomal RNA, 500 nt
Filed under: uncultured sulfate-reducing bacterium
Lineage: Bacteria
Description: bacterial SSU rRNA
Rfam family: Bacterial small subunit ribosomal RNA
Source: RNAcentral